Molecule: long non-coding RNA, 4446 nt
Filed under: Homo sapiens (human)
Lineage: Eukaryota; Metazoa; Chordata; Mammalia; Primates; Hominidae
Description: HSALNT0309543
Source: RNAcentral
CUCUCACUGCAGACCCUGCUGGCUCUGCUCCACGAGUCUCUUGCCCUCCUGGGACCAGAGAGGCCAGUUGGGGCAUGUUCUUUUCAUAGUGAAGGCAGACCACAGGCUGGCAAAUGGAAAUGCAUGAUGCUUCCUAAGGCCUAGGCUCAGACCUGGCAACUGUCAAUUCCACUUUCCUCAUCUUAUAAAAUUCUGGUUCUCAAUGACACCAGCAUCAUUACUGAUUUGCUUUCUACUCACACACAAAUAGCCUCCAAAUAAGAAUGCCAACACUAUCACCAAAAAGGAAAAAUUAUCUUCGUUUCCCCAAGGCCUGCAGCUUUCAUAAGAAGGCAGGAGUUUUUGGAGGAGAGCGUCGUGUUCGUCUGUCUGUAGACCCUGAGACACUGAUUUACAGCAAGACUCACGGUGACAAGAAUAUAAACAUCUCUUCAAUUCAUUUGAUGAGGAAGAAAAGCUUUGAUAAAGAAACUUGACAAGAACUUUACAAGGAAGAAAAAUUACCAACAAUUUCUCCUAUCAAUGUAGAUGAAAAAUUCUAAACAAAAUGUGAGCAAAUUGAAUUCCAUUUUAUGUAAAUAGGAUAAUACAUUAUGAUGAAAUCAAGUUUAUUUAACAAUGCAAGACUGGUUUGCUAUUCAAAAAUCAAUGAAAUAUGAAUACAUAUGUAGAGCAACUAAAUGUUAAGAAACUCCGGUUUCCAGUCCAACAUGUGAAGAGCUUGGAAAUCUUCAUAUUAAAAAAAAAACUGAACAAAUUGAAAAUCAGCAAUUCUUACAUCCGUCAGAGAAUUGAGGUCCCAGGGCAAUCUGCUGCCUUGAAAAUGAAAGAAACAGACAGACAGAUACAGAGAAUUUCAGCUUAAAAGGAGCAGACGGCCUCAGCUGGACGAGUUCGAGUUUAAAACUCCAGGAGGGGCCAGUCUUGGAGACGCCACACAGCUGGGAGUUUCACCUCCAGAAGCCCUACUGUUACUCAAAAGGGGUCCCAAGCCAAACCCCAAGAGAGGGUUCUUAGAUCUUGCACAAGAAAGAAUUCAAGGCAAGUCCAUAGAGUAAAGUGAAAACAAGUUUGUUAGAAAAGUAAAGAAACAAAAGAAUGGCUACUCCAUAGGCAGAGCAGACCCAAAGGCUGCUGGUUGCCCAUUUUUAUGGUUAUUUAUUAAUUAUAUGCUAAACAGGUGGUGGAUUAUUCAUGCCUUUCCUUUUUAGACCAUAUAGGGCAACUUCCUGACAUAGCCACGGCAUUUGUAAGCUGGCAUGGCGCUGGUGGGAGUGUAGCAGUGAGGACGACCAGGUCACUCUCAUCGCCAUCUUGGUUUUGAUGGGUUUUGGCUGACUUCUUUACUGCAACCUGGCUUAUCGGCAAGGUCGUUAUGACCUGUAUUUUGUGCCUACCUCCUAUCUCAUUCUGUGACUUAGACUGUCUGUCUGGGAAUGCAGCCCAGUAGGCCUCAACCUUAUUUUACCCAGCCCCUAUUCAAGAUGGAGUUGCUCUGGUUCAGACGUGCCUCUGACACCACCAGUUACUCACUGUGAAGGUCCCUCAUACUCCUCGCCCUGGGAGGGAAAUAGCAACCAUUUUAAGAUAUGGCCGGAGGAUUUUACCCUCCUUAACUGCUGCCCUCAUGGGGAAAGCAUUUUGCUAGAGCCUAACUUGGGAUUUUAUCCAGGCCUAACUGGCCUGAGAGAAGGGAAAUACUCAAUUCGGGCUCACUAAAGACUGAGCCCUGAUCACAGGGCUACAGGACACUUCCCCUCCCCCACACCUCAUUGCCUUCUCAAUAGAGCUCCUGUGUAAUAACGGAGGAUCAAGAACUGCAAGCCUUAGGCCCUAUUUUAAAAUUUUGAAAGUCUCUAGGAAAACCCAAAGACAACAGGGGAGACAAAAACAAGAGCACUAGAGGAAAUUUUAGCCUCUGACACUGCAGCCACAGUAAACAGUGUUGACAAAAAGAGUCAAACUGUAAAAUAUUUUAAGAGAUUUAUUCUGAGCCAAAUAUGAAUGACCAUGGCCUGUGACACAGCCCUCAGGAGGUCCUGAGAACAUGUGCCCAAGGUGGUUGGGGGUGCAGCUUGGUUUUAUAUAUUUUAAGGAGGCAUGAGACAUCAAUCAUAUGCAUUUAAGAAAUACAUUGGUCUAGUUCAGAAAGGUGGGACAACUCAAAGCGGGGGGAGCAGGGCUUCCAGGCUAUAGGUAAAUUUAAACAUUUUCUGGUUGACAAUUGGUUGAGUUUAUCUGAAGACCUGGAAUCAACAGAAAGAAAAUGUUCAGGUUAAGAUAAAGGCUUGUGGAGAUCAAGUUUUACUGCGUAGAGGAAGCUUUCAGACAGCCAACUUCAGAGUGAGCAUGUUGUAAAAUGUUUAUUAUCAGACCUAAAAGAGCACCGGGCUCUUAGUUGAUUAUCUCCUGGAUCUGGAAAGGAAAGAAGGAAAAAAAAGGGGAAAGGAGAUUCUCUAUAGAAUGUGGAUUUUACCCACAAGGGACGACUUUGCAGGACCAUUUCAAGACAUAACAGAGAAAUAUGUUUUGGGGUAAAAUAUUUUGAUUUUCUUCCUUGUUGUGCCAGAGUCAGAUUGGAAAGUAAGUGACAAUAUACAGGGUUAAAUCAAAUGCAUCUGAUGAGAAUUUAUGGUUUGUAGGGCAUGACUCCCUAGACCCCUUAGACAGGAAUUUAGGGAGGACAAAAAAAAAAAUCAGAGCUUAGUCUUCAAUAGUAAACACAGCCCAAUGCCUAAUCAGAUAAACAUAAACUUCACACUCACAUCCUAUCCACCUCAGUUCCUAUUACUCAAUACAUUGUAUUGGGCUUUCAACAAAAAAAUUACAAAGUGUGCUAAAAGCCAAAACACACAGUCUGAAGAGACAAAGCAAGAUCAGAACCCACUUUUGCAAAAAUCAGGAGAGUGAGAAAAACCUGACACAGGGAAAUUAUGGCAGUGAAAGAGAUCUGACUGAACUGAUUCCAUCUUGCCUUUAAUCUCCAAACUGCCCUUGUUCAUUCCUGGGCGUAGGCCAAACUAACUUUGGGAGAAAUUUAGUUUAUAGUUUAACUUUGAAACAAAGAUAAUAACAGCCCCUCCCUGAAAAAAAAAUACCCCUUCUUGUCUAGGGACAAAACUGCCUUUGUAAAACUAACAAAUUAGCCACAAGAUUAGAAAUUAUGGCUCAGGAGUCACACAUCCAGAGCCCAAAAGAUUCCUAACCCCCCCAAUUGCUCCUAUAGAUAACACUACUACUGUGAAAGCUAAGAUUGGUGUUUAAGGUAUUCUUCAGGAUCUGCAUUCUGUUGGACCAGCUAGCACCACCCAGACCAAUACACUGUCUCAUCUGGUCUUGUGAACCCCACCCAGGAACUGACUCAGUGCAAGAGGACAGCUUUGUCCCCUGUGAUUUCAUUCCUGACCCAACCAGUCAGCAUUCCCCAUUCCCUUGUCCCUGUCUACCAAACAAUCUUUAAAAAUUCUAGACUCUGAACAUUCAGGAAGGCUGAUUUGAGCAAUAAUAAAACUCUAUUCUGCAAUUUAGCUAGCUGUGUAUGUAUUAAACUCUUUCUCUACUGCAGUUUCCCUGUCUUGAUAAAUUGACUCUAUCUGGACAGUGAGGAAGAACUCAUUGGAUGGUUACAGAACCAAACUCAGAUACGGCAGAGAUUUCAAAAUUAUCAGAAAGGUAAUUAAAAUAACUACAGUAGGCCAGGUUCAGUGGCUCACGGCUAUAAUCCCAGCACUUUGUGAGGCCAAGGUGGGUGGAUCACUUGAGCCCAGGAGUUCAAGAGCAGUCUGGGCAACAUGGAGAAAACCCGUUUUGUAGAGCAAAAAAUUAAAAACUUAACCAGGUGUAUUUGAAACCAGCCUGACCAACGUGGUAAAACCCUGUCUCUACUAAAAAUACAAAAACUAGCUGGGCGUGGUGGCGCACGCCUGUAAUUCCAGCUACUCCGGAGACUGAGGCAGGAAAAUCACUUGAACCCGGGAGGCAGAGGUUGCAGUGAGCCGAGAUUGCACCACUGCACUCCAGACUGGGCAACAGAGUGAGACUCCAUCUCAAAAAACAAACAAAAAACAAACAAACAAAAAACUUAACCAGGUGUAGUGGUGUGCCCCUGUAAUUCCAGCUACCCGGGAGGCUGAGGUAGGAGGAUCCCUAGUGCCUGGGAGACAGAUGUUGCAGUGAGCUGAGAUUGCACCACUGCACUCCAGCCUAGGUGACAGAGUAAGACCCUGUCUCAAAAAAUGAAUAAAAUAAAGACUAGUUAAUAUGCUAAGAAUUUUAAUGGACAAAGUGAACAAUAGGCAAUAGAGCCAAUGGUUCAUGUAGGCAGAGAGAUGGAAAUUCAAACAGGGAAAAGAGUUAAAAGGAAAUGCUAGAAAUCAGAAGCACUGUAACAGAAAUGAAGAAUCUUCUUGAUGGGCUCAUCAGUAGACUGGACACGUUCAAGGAAAG